GCGGUGCUCAAGCUGCGCUCACAAACGUUCGCUCUCUUAAGGCUUGAAACGAGUUUCUUGAGAGAUCACGACAGCGUGACUCAAGAGUCGCAGCAGUUCUUAUUGCGUUUUCAGUCUGUGAGCAACUGCGUGAGUCGUACGACGAUCUGCGAAUUACCGAAUCAUCGAACGAUCGAUCUACAGAUCGUGUGGCUCGUUAUUGAAGUGCAUUCAAAAUCAAAUAUGUUCGGCAAGUGUUUAGACAUUCAGAACUCGGAAGUUUGUGUAGAACUAAUAACAUAAAUAUGAUGUAGUUGAGAAUGUGUUUACUGAUCUUCAACAAAUUGGGAUUGCGAAGGCGGCAGGCGACAGGCAACAGGAGGUAGUUGGCGGGCGGCAACGGCCACAAAAAGUUGCAAGUCGCAAGUCGAAGCUCAGGUACCUCCGCAGUGGCAGUUCAAGAUGUUGCCGACGCGCGCACAAUGUGCGGCUUUAAGAAAUGCCGAAUUCCAGAAGCUGCAGUACAAUCAGUUGAAUUAAAAAACGAGCCCACAUCGGCAGAGAGAGAGAGAGAUACAGCGGCGGAGUGAAAGAGAUCGAGCGAGGACAACAGCGACGGCGACGAUAUCAUCGCGCAGCUGCGACGACCUAGGAAAUUAAGAGGACAUUGUGGCGGCAUGUGGUUAGAACUUAGCUCGCGCGGCGGCUUAAACAACGAAAUCCAAUGGCUGGCUAGCCACAGCCACAGCUACAGCCACAGACAAGACCGAGUCCAGUUCAUGCCACGCAAGAUUCUUUGCGUUGCUUCGCUGUGCUGCGCGUUGUUGGUGGCGACUCUCGAUGCCUGACAGAGGUCGCCCUCGUACGUAAUCGUCGGCGAGCACAUUCGCAAAUGCUUUUGUGCCGUCUGUUUGCCUGUCUGAGCUGCCUUGCUUUGCCUUGUGCUGCGCACGUGGCCAACUUGGUGACGCUUGGCCCCAAAAACAACUACAGCAGCAACAGCAGCAGCAGCAACUGCGGCAGCAAAUCAUUGAAAUGUCGUUAGAGGCUCGGGCGGCACGCGGCUGCGAUAGUCAGGCGAACCGCAAAAUGCUUUUAAUUUCUCAAACUGAUAUGUACUUUGGCCAACCGAAGCCGAAGUCAAACCAGAAGCAGAAGCCGGAGGGCAGCGAGUGGAGCAUCGAAUGGAGCUACCGGUUAAGCAAUUGCAAUUGAGCGAACUCGCUUCGUGAUUGGCUAUAAGUUCGUGGAGCACAGAUUUCAGCAACAAUAAAUUAAAGUAGAGAAGCGUAUUCAUGCUCACUCUCUACCCCAAUUAUAUUCUACAUUAUAAAUGCGAUCCUAAUUUGGAUCCAUGCUAAUUUCUUUGUAUAUUUUGUAUAUUGUCUGAAACUGUCGCAGUUCGAAAGUUCACAAUUUGCAACUUUUAUUUGAAUAAAAAGCAUGCUCAGAAGCCAACAAACUACAAACAUGAUUUUUUUACUCAUUUUAUUAUUAACAAAAAGAAGUGAACGUGGGCGUUUGUGAUGCGCAGGUGAGCGACCAUAGAAGGUAAUGCUAUAUAGUCAAAACACCCUCGCAGCCAAGUGAUGUGAUUACGAGAGUUUGCUAUACAUAAUCGUUGUAUAAUACAUCGAAAAAGUUUUCCAGUAACAAGAGAACGACAGCAACUAGAGCUAGAGCUAGAGGUAGAGCUCUAGAGAUAGAGAUAGAGACAACCCACUGCAAUGUGAGCAAUUAACCUUGGCUGGACUUGGAGUUGGCGGCGAUGCCAGCAGAGAACGACCUACAGCAGCCAAACAAAACAACAAACAAACAGAUACGACAACAACAAGAAGGUUUAAGGUUUAUCAGUCAAUUGAGUAACUGACAAUAUCGGAAAGUGAUGACGUAUCUGUCGAAUACCCUUCGCAGAGACAACAAGUGUAUGUUAGAAGUGAUAAUGCUGGCAAAUUUAAUAGGGUAUCAUAAAGUCAAUAAGCAUCGCUCACCGCACACCUACUUCUUUGUUGUGCGUGUGUGCUGUGCUGUGCUGUGUGUGACCUGAAGCGGCGUUGGUGUCACACCCACAGCAUUUGCGUGGUGGCUGCCGCUUGCUUGGUUGCCGUUGCCGCUUGCUUGGUUCAUUCAUCGUCUCCAGUUGAAUGAAACGACAGCUGGCCGCAGUCUCAGUCUGAGACGUAGACGGAGACAGAGA
Molecule: long non-coding RNA, 2176 nt
Organism: Drosophila sulfurigaster albostrigata
Lineage: Eukaryota; Metazoa; Arthropoda; Insecta; Diptera; Drosophilidae
Exons: 2
Source: RefSeq, a predicted model, not a curated record